UUAUUUUAAAAUUUUUUAAAUUUAUAAGAAUUUAUACAAAAGAAAAAAAAAGAUUUAAGCAUAAAAGUAUUAGAAGUAUAAAAGUUAUUUUAUUAUUUAAGUAAAAAAAAGCUAAUACAUAAACACAUUUUUGAAUUAUAUGAAGUCAUUAAAUAAACUGCGAAUCCAUAGGUUGCACCUGAGUAUCUGAAAAAAGAAUAGAAUAUUUUAAAAAAAAAUUGAGAUCCUUUUAAACAGUCUGUUAUAAUAAAGAAAAUCAUAUAUCUUAAAAUUAAUUCAUCAAGUUGAUGAUGAAAUACAUAGGCGUUCCAGUGGACGUUCUGCACUUGUUACACAAUAAUCCCUUACAGGCAGGUCAAGCAAGAGGGGCAGUGGGUAGGAGAAAUGGAGGUUUGGGCUCUACAAAAAUUUGGUAUUGCUCAUAUUUUUACAAGAAAUGCUUAAUUAUAAAUCUGAUCAUACUAGAGUUCGCUAAAAAGUAUUUGGUAUUAUGACCAUUAGGGAAACAAUACCUAGACCUGAUGAUAUUUUAGAAUCUUAAUUUAUAACUCUGAUUCAAAUAAAAUAUAUAUAUUUUGAUAAAUUCACAUUUUGAUAAUUAUGAUUCUAAUUUUAAUAAUAUAUUUUUACUUUAUGAUGAAACAUGCAACAUGAGUAUAUUUUUUAGUUCGUAGGACAUUAUGAUUAAAUAUAAAGUUAUUGAAAAAAAUUCAUUAUAAUAUGUAAUAACACGAAAUGGUUUGACCUCAUGAAUUAUUCUAGCGUAAUGAUUUGAUCAAUUUUAACUUUGCACAAAUUACUUUUAUUUUCAAAAUAAAAUAAACCCUUAUUACAAACUUCUAAAAUUACCUUCAAAUGAUAUCUAUUAUUUAUCAUUAUAUAUGUAUGUACAUUCAAGCAUAAAAAUUUACAAAAAGAAAAGAAAAGGAAAAAAAAAAAGAAGUCUUUACUAUGAAGCUUCAAAACAUGAAAGGAGUUGGAGCGAAUGCUGGAAUUAUUGUUGCUGAAUAUGUGUUUCGCCUGAAAAAUAAAUAAAUUCAUCACCAAAAAUGUCAAAUUCUAUAUAUUAUAUAAAAAUUAAAACAUAAAAUUCAUUUAUAAAUAUUUUUUAUUUCUGAAAUUUUUACCCUGCCAAAGCAGAGUAAGCAAAAGACUCCAUGGCCCAAUGGAUAAGGCGCUGGUCUACGGAACCAGAGAUUCUGGGUUCGAUCCCCAGUGGAGUCGAUACCAGUUUUUAAGUCAAUAACUUUUAAAUAUAUAUAUUUUUUAAAAUUAUUAAAAAUAUAUUUUAAUAUAUAUGCGUAUAUGAAUAUAAAACUGCCACGUAGACCUGCUUGCAUCACAAUAAUUCCCAGAAAUUUUUAUCGGAAAAAAACGUAAAAAGUUGAAGUUGUAACAGAUAUUCUGUUUCCAGACACUGACAUGUCAACC
Molecule: long non-coding RNA, 1431 nt
Filed under: Carica papaya (papaya)
Lineage: Eukaryota; Viridiplantae; Streptophyta; Magnoliopsida; Brassicales; Caricaceae
Description: long non-coding RNA (CPAP_LNC007398)
Rfam family: tRNA (bases 1152-1224)
Source: RNAcentral